RNAcentral lists this ribosomal RNA (858 nucleotides) under uncultured bacterium. RNAcentral describes it as "SSU rRNA". It matches the Rfam family "Bacterial small subunit ribosomal RNA", at positions 524 to 1381 of the family's 1533-position model. The record is from RNAcentral.
UACGGAGGGUGCAAGCGUUAUCCGGAUUCACUGGGUUUAAAGGGUGCGUAGGCGGGUAGGUAAGUCAGUGGUGAAAUCCUGGGAGCUCAACUCCAGAACUGCCAUUGAUACUAUCUAUCUUGAAUAUUGUGGAGGUAAGCGGAAUAUGUCAUGUAGCGGUGAAAUGCUUAGAUAUGACAUAGAACACCCAUUGCGAAGGCAGCUUACUACGCAUAUAUUGACGCUGAGGCACGAAAGCGUGGGGAUCAAACAGGAUUAGAUACCCUGGUAGUCCACGCCCUAAACUAUGGAUACUCGACAUAUGCGAUACACUGUAUGUGUCUGAGCGAAAGCAUUAAGUAUCCCACCUGGGAAGUACGUUCGCAAGAAUGAAACUCAAAGGAAUUGGCGGGGGUCCGCACAAGCGGUGGAGUAUGUGGUUUAAUUCGAUGAUACGCGAGGAACCUUACCUGGGCUAGAAUGCUGGGAGACCGCUAGUGAAAGCUAGUUUUGUAGCAAUACACUGCCAGUAAGGUGCUGCAUGGCCGUCGUCAGCUCGUGCCGUGAGGUGUUGGGUUAAGUCCCGCAACGAGCGCAACCCCUAUCUUUAGUUGCCAACAGGUAAUGCUGGGAACUCUAAAGAAACUGCCGCCGUAAGGUGUGAGGAAGGAGGGGAUGAUGUCAGGUCAUCAUGGCCUCUAUGCCCAGGGCUACACACGUACUACAAUGGGGGAGACAAAGGGCUGCAACAUAGCGAUAUGAAGCCAAUCCCAAAAACUCCCUCUCAGUUCAGAUUGCAGGCUGCAACUCGCCUGCAUGAAGCUGGAAUCGCUAGUAAUCGUAUAUCAGCAAUGAUACGGUGAAUACGUUCCCGGACCU